CAUAGGCCACUCUGCGAGAUAUACAGCCAAGCUUAUCAAUGCUUGACAUGAGGCAAACCAUGAUAGGUCCAAAUGAAACCACCGAAUCCCAUCUUUUUUGAGUCAUUAUGCCACUCUGCCUCGAGCUACUCACCCCUCGCAAUUAUGAUAGGAUUUGCGAAGUGACACAUUAACACGACUCUGAAAUCCUACCCAUCAAUCACUCUAAAUUGAGCAACCUAACUCUUGGGACUAGCUAAAAAUCAAGGUCUGAACAUGCAAGCUAAAUAAUCCAUUAGAUGAAGAAAAAGCCGAGGUUUUAUC
This 303-nucleotide long non-coding RNA is filed under the name Elaeis guineensis (African oil palm). Its description in RNAcentral is "long non-coding RNA (EGUI_LNC003094)". The record is from RNAcentral. Lineage: Eukaryota; Viridiplantae; Streptophyta; Magnoliopsida; Arecales; Arecaceae.